This 253-nucleotide ribosomal RNA is filed under the name uncultured bacterium. RNAcentral describes it as "partial 16S ribosomal RNA". It matches the Rfam family "Bacterial small subunit ribosomal RNA", at positions 524 to 776 of the family's 1533-position model. The record is from RNAcentral.
UACGGAGGAUGCGAGCGUUAUCCGGAAUCAUUGGGCGUAAAGAGUUCGUAGGCGGCACGUAAAGUCUGGUGUUAAAGGCAGAGGCUCAACUUCUGUACGGCACUGGAUACUUGCGAGCUAGAAUGCGGUAGAGGUAAAGGGAAUUCCUGGUGUAGCGGUGAAAUGCAUAGAUAUCACGCAGAACCCCGAUUGCGAAGGCAGCAUACCGGCGCCCUACUGACGCUGAGGCACGAAAGUGCGGGGAUCAAACAGG